This 85-nucleotide transfer RNA is filed under the name Methanoregula sp. RNAcentral describes it as "tRNA-Leu". It matches the Rfam family "tRNA". Rfam says of the family: Transfer RNA (tRNA) molecules are approximately 80 nucleotides in length. Their secondary structure includes four short double-helical elements and three loops (D, anti-codon, and T loops). Further hydrogen bonds mediate the characteristic L-shaped molecular structure. tRNAs have two regions of fundamental functional importance: the anti-codon, which is responsible for specific mRNA codon recognition, and the 3' end, to which the tRNAs corresponding amino acid is attached (by aminoacyl-tRNA synthetases). tRNAs cope with the degeneracy of the genetic code in two manners: having more than one tRNA (with a specific anti-codon) for a particular amino acid; and 'wobble' base-pairing, i.e. permitting non-standard base-pairing at the 3rd anti-codon position. The record is from RNAcentral. Lineage: Archaea; Methanobacteriati; Methanobacteriota; Methanomicrobia; Methanomicrobiales; Methanoregulaceae.
GCGAGGGUAUCCAAGCCUGGUCAACGGAGGCAGACUCAAGAUCUGCUCUUGCAGAAGUUCGCGGGUUCAAAUCCCUCCCCUCGCA